AGAACGAACGCUGGCGGCGUGGAUAAGACAUGCAAGUCGAACGCUGACAUUUAGGUAGCAAUAUUUGAAUGUCGGAGUGGCGCAAGGGUGUGUAACACGUGGGCAAUCUGCCGUGAAGACUGGAAUAACUCGCUGAAAGGCGAGCUAAUACCGGAUGUGAACGCAAGUUCAAAGUUGGGGACCGCAAGGCCUGACGCUUUACGAUGAGCCCGCGGCCUAUCAGCUAGUUGGUGAGGUAACGGCUCACCAAGGCUAAGACGGGUAGCUGGUCUGAGAGGACGACCAGCCACACUGGAACUGAGACACGGUCCAGACACCUACGGGUGGCAGCAGUCGAGAAUUUUUUCACAAUGGACGAAAGUCUGAUGGAGCGACGCCGCGUGGAGGAUGAAGGUUUUCGGAUUGUAAACUCCUGUCACUGCAGAACAAGGAUGCGUUUAUGAAUAGUAGAUGCAUUUGAUGGUAUGCGGAGAGGAAGGGA
RNAcentral lists this ribosomal RNA (481 nucleotides) under uncultured bacterium. RNAcentral describes it as "SSU rRNA". It matches the Rfam family "Bacterial small subunit ribosomal RNA", at positions 26 to 493 of the family's 1533-position model. The record is from RNAcentral.